GAUGAACGCUGGCGGCGUGCUUAACACAUGCAAGUCGAACGGAAAGGCCCCAGCUUGCUUGGGUACUCGAGUGGCGAACGGGUGAGUAACACGUGGGUGAUCUGCCCUGCACUUCGGGAUAAGCCUGGGAAACUGGGUCUAAUACCGGAUAGGACCACAUUUUGGAUGGUGUGGUGGAAAGUUUUUCGGUGUGGGAUGAGCUCGCGGCCUAUCAGCUUGUUGGUGGGGUAAUGGCCUACCAAGGCGUCGACGGGUAGCCGGCCUGAGAGGGUGUACGGCCACAUUGGGACUGAGAUACGGCCCAGACUCCUACGGGAGGCAGCAGUGGGGAAUAUUGCACAAUGGGCGCAAGCCUGAUGCAGCGACGCCGCGUGGGGGAUGACGGCCUUCGGGUUGUAAACUCCUUUCGCUAGGGACGAAGCGCAAGUGACGGUACCUGGAGAAGAAGCACCGGCUAACUACGUG
Molecule: ribosomal RNA, 465 nt
Filed under: uncultured bacterium
Lineage: Bacteria
Description: partial 16S ribosomal RNA
Rfam family: Bacterial small subunit ribosomal RNA
Source: RNAcentral